This is a long non-coding RNA of Cyprinus carpio (common carp), 1266 nucleotides long. Lineage: Eukaryota; Metazoa; Chordata; Actinopteri; Cypriniformes; Cyprinidae. The record is from Ensembl.
AUGAUCUUCAGCUCAUGUGAAGGAGUGUUACAUCGGGGCAGCAGUGUGACUGUCUCCUGUGGAUCAAAUACUCUCAUGAACUCUCAUGUACUCUCAGAUACUCUCAUAUACACUCGUAUACGCUCACAUACUCUCAGAUAUGAUCAGAAACACUCUAAUACCCUCACAUACUCUCAGAUACUUCCAUACAUGCUCAGAUACACUCAUACACAUUCACAUAGUCUCAGAUACACUCAUAUACACUCAUAUACUCUCACAUACUCUCAGAUACGCUCAGAUACACUCAUAUACCCUCACAUCCUCUCAGAUACGCUCAUAUACACUCAUACACGUUCACAUACUCUCAGAUACACUUAUGUACACUCAGAUACACUCAUAUACUCUCACACAUUCUCACAUACUCUCAUAUACACUCAUAUAUUCUCACAUGCUCUCAGAUAUGCUCAGACACACUCUAAUACCCUCACAUCCUCUCAGAUACACUCGUAUACGCUCAUGUACUCUCAGAUACGCUCACAUACUCUCAGAUACACUUAUGUACACUCAGAUACACUCAUACACAUUCACAUUCUCUCAGAUACGCUCAUAUACACUCAUAUACGCUCACAUACUAACAGAUAUUUUCAUACAUGCUCAGAUACACUCAUACACGUUCACAUACUCUCAGAUAUGCUCAUAUACACUCAUAUACUCUCAGAUAUGCUCAGAUACUCUCAGCUACACUCAAAUACUCUCAGAUACUCUGAGAUACACUCACAUACUCUCAGACACUCUGAGAUAUGCUCACAUACUCUCAGAUACUCUCAGAUAUGCUUGCAUACUAUCAGAUACACUCGUAUAUGCUCAUGUACUCUCAGAUAUGCUCACAUACUCUCAGAUACAGUGACAUACUCUCAGAUACGUUCAUAUGCUCAUGUACUCUCACAUACUCUCAGAUACGCUCAUAUACGCUCAUGUACUCUCAGAUAUGCUCAGAUACUCUCAGAUACUCUCAGCUACGCUCAAAUACUCUUAGAUACUCUAAUAUACGCUCACAUACUCUCAGAUACUCUCAGACAUGACCAGAUACUCUCAGAUACUCUCAGAUACACUCACAUACUCUCACAUACUCUCAGAUACUCUCAUAUACUCUCACAUACUCUCAUAUACACUCAUAUACACUCACAUGUGGUUGCUGGAGAGCCAAAGCGUGUCAUUGACAAGGUUGAAGAUUUUACCCAGAAGCCCUCAGUGCUCAGACCUCCUGCUGCAAAACUGCUGAUGUAA